AAGCACUCGGAGAUGUCCCUCUUCUCCAGAGUCCACAGUUCCCUUUGCUUUCAUAAUAUUUCCCCUAGUUGAGGAUGGUCUUGGCCUCCAUAGGUAUUAACUUUCCACUAGAUCCAUUAGUUGUACAGAUUAUGUUAGUCACCUCUUAUGUCGAUGCCGGCCAUCAUCAGCAGCUUCUUGGGCACAGGGGCGGAGACGAUGCCGGUGCCUCUGGGGGCAGGGAUGAGGCGCACCAGCACAGAGCCGCAGCGGCCAGUCACCUUGCAAGGAACCGUGUGGGGCUUGCCGAUCUUGUUCCCCCAGUAGCCUCUUCGCACGGGGACGAUGGACAGCUUGGCCAGGAUGAUGGCCCCACGGAUGGCAGUGGCUACUUCCUUGGAGCACUUGACACCCAGACCGACAUGUCCGUUGUAAUCCCCAAUAGCAACAAACGCCUUGAACCUGGUCCGCUGGCCAGCACGGGUCUGCUUUUGCACAGGCAUAAUCUUCAAAACCUCAUCCUUGAGGGAUGCUCCCAGGAAAAAGUCAAUAAUCUCAGACUCUUUGAUGGGCAGAGAGAAAAGGUAGAUCUCCUCCAGAGACAGAUUCCUAAUGGGAAAAAUAAUUGCAUCUGCUUCUGCCUGUGGCCACUUCUCUUAUAA
RNAcentral lists this long non-coding RNA (641 nucleotides) under Ovis aries (sheep). RNAcentral's name for it is "lncRNA (ENSOARG00000026864.1)". The record is from RNAcentral. Lineage: Eukaryota; Metazoa; Chordata; Mammalia; Artiodactyla; Bovidae.